This 82-nucleotide transfer RNA is filed under the name Corchorus olitorius. It matches the Rfam family "tRNA". From Rfam's summary of the family: Transfer RNA (tRNA) molecules are approximately 80 nucleotides in length. Their secondary structure includes four short double-helical elements and three loops (D, anti-codon, and T loops). Further hydrogen bonds mediate the characteristic L-shaped molecular structure. tRNAs have two regions of fundamental functional importance: the anti-codon, which is responsible for specific mRNA codon recognition, and the 3' end, to which the tRNAs corresponding amino acid is attached (by aminoacyl-tRNA synthetases). tRNAs cope with the degeneracy of the genetic code in two manners: having more than one tRNA (with a specific anti-codon) for a particular amino acid; and 'wobble' base-pairing, i.e. permitting non-standard base-pairing at the 3rd anti-codon position. The record is from Rfam by way of RNAcentral. Lineage: Eukaryota; Viridiplantae; Streptophyta; Magnoliopsida; Malvales; Malvaceae.
GAGAUUGUAGUUCAAUUGGUAAGAGGCUAAGAGCACUGCCCUGUUAAGGCGGAAGCUGCGGGUUCGAGCCCCGUUAGUCCCG